RNAcentral lists this ribosomal RNA (394 nucleotides) under uncultured microorganism. RNAcentral's name for it is "bacterial SSU rRNA". It matches the Rfam family "Archaeal small subunit ribosomal RNA", at positions 330 to 746 of the family's 1478-position model. The record is from RNAcentral.
GCGCAGCAGGCGCGAAAGCACGAUAAGGGAACUCUGAGUGCCUCCUAAGGAGGCUGUUCAGGUGUCUAAAAGCACCUGAAGGAAGGGCUGGGUAAGACCGGUGCCAGCCGCCGCGGUAACACCGGCAGCCCAAGUGGUAGCCACGUUUAUUGGGUCUAAAGCGUCCGUAGCCGGCUGGGUAAGUUCCUUGGGAAAUUUGGCUGCUUAACAGUCAAGCUUUCAGGGAAUACUGCCCGGCUUGGGGACCGGGAGAGGUCAGAGGUACUCCAGGGGUAGGGGUGAAAUCCAUUAAUCCUUGGGGGGACCACCGGUAGCGAAGGCGUCUGACCAGACCGGGUCCGACGGUGAGGGACGAAGGCUAGGGGCGCGAACCGGAUUAGAUACCCCCGUAGUU